CGGUCGCGUAACACGUAAGCAACCUGCCCUGAAGUGGGGGACAACAUCCCGAAAGGGGUGCUAAUACCGCAUGUGGUCACGAGUCGGCAUCGACUUGUGUCUAAAGAUUUAUCGCUUCAGGAUGGGCUUGCGGCCUAUCAGGUAGUUGGUGGGGUAAUGGCCUACCAAGCCGACGACGGGUAGCUGGUCUGAGAGGACGAUCAGCCGGAUUGGGACUGAGAUACGGCCCAGACUCCUACGGGGGGCAGCAAUUAGGAAUCUUGCGCAAUGGGGGAAACCCUGACGCAGCGACGUCGCGUGAAGGAUGAAGGCCCUCGGGUCGUAAACUUCUCUUGAGUGGGAAGAAAUUUGACGGUACCACUCGAAUAAGCCCCGGCUAACUACGUGCCAGCAGCCGCGGUAAUACGUAGGGGGCGAGCGUUGUCCGAAGUUACUGGGCGUAAAGCGCGCGUAGGCGGUUAUUUAAGUCUGGGGUGAAAGGUUCAGCGCU
This 490-nucleotide ribosomal RNA is filed under the name uncultured bacterium. RNAcentral describes it as "bacterial SSU rRNA". It matches the Rfam family "Bacterial small subunit ribosomal RNA", at positions 103 to 609 of the family's 1533-position model. The record is from RNAcentral.